UCGGGACCUAAGGCGAGGCCGACAGGCGUAGUCGAUGGACAACGGGUUGAUAUUCCCGUACCCGUGUGUGAGCGCCCAAUGACGAAUCAUCGGUACUAACCGCCCAAAUGGUGGUCUACCAAACCCUUCGGGGGGCGGGGAUCACCGGCUGCGCGGGACCUUCGGUGUUAGUAGUCAAGCGAUGGGGUGACGCAGGAAGGUAGCCGUACCAGUCAGUGGUAAUACUGGGGCAAGCCCGUAGGGAGUCAGAUAGGCAAAUCCGUCUGACACAGAUCCUGAGAGGUGAUGCAUAGCCGAUUGAGGCGAAUUCGGUGAUCCUCAGCUGCCGAGAAAAGCCUCUAGCGAGCACACACACGGCCCGUACCCCAAACCGACACAGGUGGUCAGGUAGAGAAUACCAAGGCGUACGAGUGAACUAUGGUUAAGGAACUCGGCAAAAUACCUCCGUAACUUCGGGAGAAGGAGGACCCCUUACCGUCAUGGCCCUCGCGGCCGGCAGCGGUGGGGGGUGGCACAAACCAGUGAGAAGCGACUGUUUACUAAAAACACAGGUCCGUGCGAAGUCGCAAGACGAUGUAUACGGACUGACGCCUGCCCGGUGCUGGAAGGUUAAGAGGACCCGUUAACCGCAAGGUGAAGCGGAGAAUUUAAGCCCCAGUAAACGGCGGUGGUAACUAUAACCAUCCUAAGGUAGCGAAAUUCCUUGUCGGGUAAGUUCCGACCUGCACGAAUGGCGUAACGACUUCUCAACUGUCUCAACCAUAGACUCGGCGAAAUUGCACUACGAGUAAAGAUGCUCGUUACGCGCGGCAGGACGAAAAGACCCCGGGACCUUCACUAUAGCUUGGUAUUGGCGUUCGAUACGGUUUGUGUAGGAUAGGUGGGAGACUAUGAAGCAGUGACGCCAGUCAUUGUGGAGUCGUUGUUGAAAUACCACUCUGAUCGUAUUGGACUUCUAACCUCGAACCGUAUAUCCGGUUCAGGGACAGUGCCUGGUGGGUAGUUUAACUGGGGCGGUUGCCUCCUAAAAAGUAACGGAGGCGCCCAAAGGUUCCCUCAACCUGGACGGCAAUCAGGUGUUGAGUGCAAGUGCACAAGGGAGCUUGACUGCGAGACCUACACGUCAAGCAGGGACGAAAGUCGGGACUAGUGAUCCGGCACCUCUGAGUGGAAGGGGUGUCGCUCAACGGAUAAAAGGUACCCCGGGGAUAACAGGCUGAUCUUCCCCAAGAGUCCAUAUCGACGGGAUGGUUUGGCACCUCGAUGUCGGCUCGUCGCAUCCUGGGGCUGGAGCAGGUCCCAAGGGUUGGGCUGUUCGCCCAUUAAAGCGGCACGCGAGCUGGGUUUAGAACGUCGUGAGACAGUUCGGUCUCUAUCCGCCGCGCGCGUCAGAAGCUUGAGGAAAGCUGUCCCUAGUACGAGAGGACCGGGACGGACGAACCUCUGGUCCACCAGUUGUCACACCAGUGGCACGGCUGGAUAGCCACGUUCGGACAGGAUAACCGCUGAAAGCAUCUAAGCGGGAAACCUUCUCCAAGACCAGGCUUCUCACC
RNAcentral lists this ribosomal RNA (1553 nucleotides) under activated sludge metagenome. Its description in RNAcentral is "bacterial LSU rRNA". It matches the Rfam family "Bacterial large subunit ribosomal RNA", at positions 1384 to 2818 of the family's 2925-position model. The record is from RNAcentral.